AUUGAACGCUGGCGGCAGGCCUAACACAUGCAAGUCGAGCGGAUGAAGGGAGCUUGCUCCUGGAUUCAGCGGCGGACGGGUGAGUAAUGCCUAGGAAUCUGCCUGGUAGUGGGGGAUAACGUCCGGAAACGGGCGCUAAUACCGCAUACGUCCUGAGGGAGAAAGUGGGGGAUCUUCGGACCUCACGCUAUCAGAUGAGCCUAGGUCGGAUUAGCUAGUUGGUGGGGUAAAGGCCUACCAAGGCGACGAUCCGUAACUGGUCUGAGAGGAUGAUCAGUCACACUGGAACUGAGACACGGUCCAGACUCCUACGGGAGGCAGCAGUGGGGACUCUUGGCCCCUGGGCGCCCGCCUGCUCCCGCCCUGCCGCGUGUGUGAAGAAGGUCUUCGGAUUGUAAAGCACUUUAAGUUGGGAGGAAGGGCAGUACGUUAAUACCUUGCUGUUUUGACGUUACCACCAGAAUAAGCACCGGCUCACUUCGUG
RNAcentral lists this ribosomal RNA (484 nucleotides) under uncultured bacterium. RNAcentral's name for it is "partial 16S ribosomal RNA". It matches the Rfam family "Bacterial small subunit ribosomal RNA", at positions 30 to 507 of the family's 1533-position model. The record is from RNAcentral.